UCGAGAAUAUUCCACAAUGGGCAAAAGCCUGAUGGAGCGACGCCGCGUGCGGGAUGAAUGUCUACGGACUGUAAACCGCUUUUCCUUGGGAAGAAGGUUGUUUUGCAAUUUGACGGUACCAAGGGAAUAAGGGGUGGCUAACUUCGUGCCAGCAGCAGCGGUAAUACGAAGACCCCGAGUGUUAUCCGGAUUUAUUGGGCGUAAAGCGUGUGCAGGAGGUUUGGUGCGUCCGUCGUUAAAUUCCACUGCCUAACGGUGGAGCUGCGGCGGAUACGGCCAGACUAGAGGGGGUGAGAGGUCUGUGGAACGCACGGUGUAGGGGUGAAAUCCGUUGAUAUCGUGCGGAACACCAAAGGCGAAGGCAGCAGACUGGCGCCCUCCUGACUCUAAGACACGAAAG
This 400-nucleotide ribosomal RNA is filed under the name uncultured bacterium. Its description in RNAcentral is "bacterial SSU rRNA". It matches the Rfam family "Bacterial small subunit ribosomal RNA", at positions 355 to 759 of the family's 1533-position model. The record is from RNAcentral.